Molecule: long non-coding RNA, 219 nt
Filed under: Elaeis guineensis (African oil palm)
Lineage: Eukaryota; Viridiplantae; Streptophyta; Magnoliopsida; Arecales; Arecaceae
Description: long non-coding RNA (EGUI_LNC043609)
Source: RNAcentral
GCCCAAAAAGAUUUUUGAAAGCUGGCUGAUUAUCCAACUCUUCAGGAUUGGGACGACCCUAUCAAGAAGAAUUCUCUUCGGGAUCAUUUUGAGAAGUAUCCUCGAUCUUCCUCCGAGCAGAUGGGGUCUGAGAACUAUGGUCCUCCGCCACAUUCUCGCUCCUAGACUCUCUACCUGAAGCAGCCAUGAAAGAGAAGCAAAACAAAAACCCAAGGGGAG